UGCAUAACAAAAAGAUAAAACAAAAUCCUCAGUAAAUAACAAACUAGGAAAAAACGCAAACUAUGUCUUGAUGGAAAUAAGUUUCUUAAAACAAUAUUAUCUUCAAAAAGCUCUUAAUGUGCUAACCGAUAAAUCAAGCAACUCCACUGGGGAAAUGUGAUUCACUGAAUUACAUAAACAGGUUGGGCUUCUUGGCUUUGUAGGUUGUUUUUAGGCUCCUAGUUGGUGGCCUAAUCUUCUUGUACACCAGAGGGAACUUGAUUUUGGAAUUGUGAAACUGCUUAGUGCUCUCCCUUUUGCACAGAUUAGCCGGGAUGGUGGCAGUCUUAAUGAUUUGAAUGCAGGGAAACCUGACCCUAUGACGAGAUGCCAUCUCGUUGUACAUUGUCUCCACAGCGCCGUUUAGAGUAGUAUC
This 415-nucleotide long non-coding RNA is filed under the name Medicago truncatula (barrel medic). RNAcentral's name for it is "lncRNA gene33243". The record is from RNAcentral. Lineage: Eukaryota; Viridiplantae; Streptophyta; Magnoliopsida; Fabales; Fabaceae.